AGUGAACGCUGGCGGUAGGCCUAACACAUGCAAGUCGAACGGCAGCACAGUAAGAGCUUGCUCUUACGGGUGGCGAGUGGCGGACGGGUGAGGAAUACAUCGGAAUCUACUUUUUCGUGGGGGAUAACGUAGGGAAACUUACGCUAAUACCGCAUACGACCUACGGGUGAAAGCAGGGGAUCUUCGGACCUUGCGCGAUUGAAUGAGCCGAUGUCGGAUUAGCUAGUUGGCGGGGUAAAGGCCCACCAAGGCGACGAUCCGUAGCUGGUCUGAGAGGAUGAUCAGCCAGACUGGGACUGAGACACGGUCCAGACUCCUACGGGAGGCAGCAGUGGGGAAUAUUGGACAAUGGGCGCAAGCCUGAUCCAGCCAUACCGCGUGGGUGAAGAAGGCCUUCGGGUUGUAAAGCCCUUUUGUUGGGAAAGAAAAGCAGCAGGUUAAUACCCCGCUGUUCUGACGGUACCCAAAGAAUAAGCACCGGCUAACUUCGUG
This 492-nucleotide ribosomal RNA is filed under the name uncultured bacterium. RNAcentral's name for it is "partial 16S ribosomal RNA". It matches the Rfam family "Bacterial small subunit ribosomal RNA", at positions 29 to 507 of the family's 1533-position model. The record is from RNAcentral.